UACGUAGGGGGCAAGCGUUGUCCGGAAUCAUUGGGCGUAAAGAGCGUGUAGGCGGUCCGGUAAGUCCGCUGUGAAAGUCCAGGGCUCAACCCUGGGAUGCCGGUCGAUACUGCCGGACUAGAGUUCGGAAGAGGCGAGUGGAAUUCCCGGUGUAGCGGUGAAAUGCGCAGAUAUCGGGAGGAACACCUAUGGCGAAGGCAGCUCGCUGGGACGUUACUGACGCUGAGACGCGAAAGCGUGGGGAGCAAACAGG
RNAcentral lists this ribosomal RNA (253 nucleotides) under uncultured bacterium. RNAcentral's name for it is "partial 16S ribosomal RNA". It matches the Rfam family "Bacterial small subunit ribosomal RNA", at positions 524 to 776 of the family's 1533-position model. The record is from RNAcentral.